GGAGAGCAGGACUUCAGCUGCACCUGCAGAAACCCCCAUGCACAGCCACACCUACGCAGCUUUUCACUGCACGAUGGAUGGGAUGGAGCUGCAAAACCCAUGACCUGUUGUCUUUGGGGGCCAGACACAAACAUGGGAGGCAGAGUCUGCAGAGAUGAAGACAGAAAACUCUGCAAAUCCAGUUCUUGAGACUCCAGGUUUUGACUAUCAAAGGGCAGGAAAAUGUGCCAAACUUCCCCUGUUAAGGACACCAGCUGGUAAAGUCCCCCUGCCUGGAGCAGUUGAGAGAUUCCAGUCCAAGGGCCUGAUCCUUGCACAGGGAGUUGCUGCCCCUUCCAGAACUCCUUGGAAACAGUAGGAAACUCUGUGGUUGUGA
This 376-nucleotide long non-coding RNA is filed under the name Junco hyemalis (dark-eyed junco). RNAcentral describes it as "lncRNA (ENSJHYG00000007096.1)". Lineage: Eukaryota; Metazoa; Chordata; Aves; Passeriformes; Passerellidae. The record is from RNAcentral.